GCAAACUUGGUCAUUUAGAGGAAGUAAAAGUCGUAACAAGGUUUCCGUAGGUGAACCUGCGGAAGGAUCAUUGCCGAACGGACGCCCGGUUACCCGUCAAAAAGGAAACCGGGUGUCUUUUUCGACCAACCCAUGUGAACUCGUUCAACGUGUUUAACAGUCGUGUUGUCGUUGUGUAUUUAUUUAUACAACAACACACAACUGUCCAAACAUUUUUAACAAACCACAUUUCUGAACACUCUUGACUGAGACUUAUAGGUCACGCCUAAAAACGUUGAUCUCAAAAACCUAACCAUUACAACUUUUAACAACGGAUAUCUUGGCUCGCGCAUCGAUGAAGAACGCAGC
This 348-nucleotide unclassified non-coding RNA is filed under the name uncultured fungus. RNAcentral's name for it is "partial contains small subunit ribosomal RNA, internal transcribed spacer 1, and 5.8S ribosomal RNA". The stretch from base 1 to 73 matches the Rfam family "Eukaryotic small subunit ribosomal RNA", at positions 1759 to 1831 of the family's 1831-position model. Lineage: Eukaryota; Fungi. The record is from RNAcentral.